This is a long non-coding RNA of Oncorhynchus tshawytscha (Chinook salmon), 347 nucleotides long. Lineage: Eukaryota; Metazoa; Chordata; Actinopteri; Salmoniformes; Salmonidae. The record is from Ensembl.
UACUAUUCCAUUUAGAUUAAUGGUGGUUGAUGUUUAGUGAAACAGACAUGAGAUAGAGCUACUAUUCCAUUUAGAUUAAUGGUUGUUGAUGUUUAGUGAAACAGACAUGAGGUAGAGCUACUAUUCCAUUUAGAUUAAUGGUGGUUGAUGUUUAGUGAAACAGACAUGAGGUAGAGCUACUAUUCCAUUUAGAUUAAUGGUGGUUGAUGUUUAGUGAAACAGACAUGAGAUAGAGCUACUAUUCCAUUUAGAUUAAUGGUGGUUGAUGUUUAGUGAAACAGACAUGAGAUAGAGCUACUAUUCCAUUUAGAUUAAUGGUUGUUGAUGUUUAGUGAAACAGACAUGAG